UUAUACUCUUAUCGUGUUUUAAUUUCACAUCUCAAUUGCGAAAGACAUCAUAUGUAGCUUGUGCAACCAUGUUUAAUCGAAAGUAUUUUAGUUCUUGUAAGCAUCAACCAUCCCAUGCCAAGAAUGAAACUUUUCUUAAUAGUAUAACAAAAAGAUCUGGUGUCACUAUAGAAGUAAAGGGAUAUGGGAAUUGAUGUCAUUCCUAAUAGGGAACAAUUGAAAUUGAU
This 227-nucleotide long non-coding RNA is filed under the name Solanum tuberosum (potato). RNAcentral describes it as "long non-coding RNA (STUB_LNC005815)". The record is from RNAcentral. Lineage: Eukaryota; Viridiplantae; Streptophyta; Magnoliopsida; Solanales; Solanaceae.